GUGCAGAAAAUACUGUACCACGACGUUCCCGAGACCUCUGUGUGUAUUCUGACUGCCAAAGUUGUACCCUCUCAGAAAGUAAACGACAAGAAGCAGUGGCACCAUCCCUGGCUUCUUGUGAAGUAGCAAACUGGCAACAUAGUUGCUGCUCAUUGCACAUGCAAAGCAGGAGCUGGUGAGACAUGCAGCCAUAUUGCUGCUGUCCUGUUCAAGGUGGAAGCUGCCAUUAAACUGGGGUACACUAAUCCAGCAAAAACGAGCCAGGCUAACCAGUGGAAUCGAUGCUUUCGUGAGAAGGUGACGGGUCAACCACUUUCAGAAAUAAGCUUCCACAAGUCAAAGCAUGGCAAAACUCGCAAAACGAGACCACAACAACAACCAGCUGUGGUUGUGACGAUUGACGAGGAAGAGGUAUUAGGGCGGCUGAAAAAAGUAUGCCCAGAUGCUUGCGUAUUCUUAAAGGAUGACUCGGAGACGGACACAGCAUCAGAUGACGAGGACAUG
Long non-coding RNA from Dreissena polymorpha, 504 nucleotides. RefSeq lists it as uncharacterized. The transcript is spliced from 3 exons. The record is from RefSeq and is a predicted model, not a curated record. NCBI's taxonomy places the organism in Eukaryota, Metazoa, Mollusca, Bivalvia, Myida, Dreissenidae.